GAGGGCGAAAACGUUCUAUAUCACGUAUCACGAUAUCAAAUAGAAACAAGCUCAUUGGAAACAAGAGUAUGAAAGAAGCAAAUAAAAAGACAUUGAAUAAUCUAAAAGCAGAAUUGAAUUUUGGAAAUAUUUAAAAAGUUAUCUUAUCAUUGAUAUGAAAGAUGGAUGGUAUUAUUUCAUUAUCUUAUCUUAUGACAAAAAAUUAAA
This is a long non-coding RNA of Gordionus sp. m RMFG-2023, 207 nucleotides long. RefSeq lists it as uncharacterized. The record is from RefSeq and is a predicted model, not a curated record. NCBI's taxonomy places the organism in Eukaryota, Metazoa, Nematomorpha, Gordioida, Chordodea, Parachordodidae. The transcript is spliced from 2 exons.